This 42-nucleotide ribosomal RNA is filed under the name Phyllosticta hymenocallidicola. Its description in RNAcentral is "partial 18S ribosomal RNA". The record is from RNAcentral. Lineage: Eukaryota; Fungi; Ascomycota; Dothideomycetes; Botryosphaeriales; Phyllostictaceae.
UUCCGUAGGUGAACCUGCGGAAGGAUCAUUACUGAAUACGUA